GCUAUAACCGAGGAUACACUGAUGGGUCCUUCGCGGCUCCUUCGCGGAUGCAUUUCCGGGAACGUUGGGUAUAAAAUAGGCGUGACACACCGCUGCCACAGUGGAGGAUGAGGAGGCCACAGAGUCUGGCUCGGACAGCCAGGAGUGUGUUGAGCCAUCCACCUCUGCCGGUCCCCCUCCUCGAAAAAAAAGAAAAAGCGCUUUGCUACAGCUCCUGGAGGCAGAGGCGGACAAGGAGGAGGACCGCUUCAACCGCCAGCAGGCAGCCUCGGAGGAAGCCUCCGCCAAAUUCCUCAAGCUCUUCGAGGAACUAGUUAGGAAGGAAUAGUGUCUUUUUUUUCUUCUUUUUUCUAUACUUUGGAUGUGUUCAUUUAUCCUUUAUUUAUAUAUGUUACAACAUUUAGUAAACAUAUUUAAGUUUGA
Molecule: long non-coding RNA, 423 nt
Organism: Notothenia coriiceps (black rockcod)
Lineage: Eukaryota; Metazoa; Chordata; Actinopteri; Perciformes; Nototheniidae
Exons: 2
Source: RefSeq, a predicted model, not a curated record